UAGCCCUUUAGCUGGUCUCAGCCAUCUAGAACUUGGUACGUUGAACUGUGUGAGAUUAUCAGUUGGAGAAAUACUAGGCGGCGUAAGAAUGUGGUAACACUGUAGUGAUCUGCUCAGAUUCUCAGGCAUAACAGCAAAGUGAAGUGCUUAUAAAACUCAAAUUGUCUGCUGAAUUGGAGCUCUGAGAACAUGAGUGUACAUAUAUACGGGUGGCUAUGUAUUAACCAGCAAGAAUAUGAAUUGAAGGAACAAAAGCACAAAUCUGUGUGCUCGCCGGCAGUCAUGCACUGCAGGUCAAAGGCAGGAACAGGAGAAUGUUGGCAGCUGUUGGAUCUGAGCGCAGCAGUAGGAACCAUGCAGUCCUGGGGAAGGCAAGUCCAUGGAAGAAAGCAACAGUGUUUGACAAUGGAUACCAAAUGCUUGCAAAACUACACUUCGUAGGAGGAACAGCUCUUUUCCUUAGCUGAAGUCUCUGCAAACAUUUUACCCAACUAUGAACCCUAAGGAAUAGCAUGAUGACUAUUAUAAUGCAACAGACAAUUUUAGCUAGAGCUUGGAAACCAGUGUCUUCAAGUGUUUCAAGAAGAAGUUACAAGAUUGGUUGAAGUCUAUAAUGGAAAGUAAAAUGCUCUAAAUAAACAUAAUAAAACUAUACCCU
Gallus gallus (chicken) is the source of this 658-nucleotide long non-coding RNA. Lineage: Eukaryota; Metazoa; Chordata; Aves; Galliformes; Phasianidae. The record is from Ensembl.